GACGAACCGUGCGAACGUUGUUCGGAAUCACUGGGCUUAAAGGGCGCGUAGGCGGCGCGGCCGGUCCGCUGUGAAAGCCCGCGGCUCAACCGCGGGACGGCAGGGGAAACCGCCGGGCUGGAGGGCUGGAGGGGUGCGUGGAACUUCCGGUGGAGCGGUGAAAUGCGUUGAGAUCGGAAGGAACGCCGGUGGCGAAAGCGACGCACUGGACAGCACCUGACGCUGAGGCGCGAAAGCCAAGGGAGCGAACGG
RNAcentral lists this ribosomal RNA (252 nucleotides) under uncultured bacterium. Its description in RNAcentral is "partial 16S ribosomal RNA". It matches the Rfam family "Bacterial small subunit ribosomal RNA", at positions 524 to 775 of the family's 1533-position model. The record is from RNAcentral.